Molecule: transfer RNA, 72 nt
Filed under: Trichiurus lepturus (Atlantic cutlassfish)
Lineage: Eukaryota; Metazoa; Chordata; Actinopteri; Scombriformes; Trichiuridae
Also listed under: 2 other names
Description: tRNA-Lys
Rfam family: tRNA
About the family: Transfer RNA (tRNA) molecules are approximately 80 nucleotides in length.
Source: RNAcentral
CAUUAAGAAGCUAACAAGACAUAGCAUUAGCCUUUUAAGCUAAAAAUCGGUGCCUCGCCCCACCCUUAAUGU